GCUUUGAUAACAACGUAAAAAGCUCCUGGCAGCAGAAAAAUCAGAUGACACUCCUUCAACAAGUGGCAAUGAAUUUCUCAGUGCAGCAGAGGCCUUUGGUAAAGCCAAGAAACUACUACAGCCUCAAGUAAAGAAAAGGCAAUUUCCAUUGAAUGAUAAACGUUUGGACCAUGGCAAAUCAUUAUUGAAGGUCAGAAUGGCUCCCAUGGAGUGGAAACCAAGAACUCCGAGAAGGUGUGGACGGUACCAGAAGUUAAUAAUGGAC
Molecule: long non-coding RNA, 265 nt
Organism: Oreochromis aureus
Lineage: Eukaryota; Metazoa; Chordata; Actinopteri; Cichliformes; Cichlidae
Exons: 4
Source: RefSeq, a predicted model, not a curated record